AACGAACGCUGGCGGCAUGCCUAACACAUGCAAGUCGAACGAUACCUUCUGGUCUAGUUGCGCACGGGUUCGUCACGCGUGGGAAUCUGCCCUUGGGUUCGGACUAACAUUUGGAAACGACUGCUAAUACCGGAUGAUUACGUAUGUCCAAAGAUUUAUCGCCCAAGGAUGAGCCCGCGUAGGAUUAGCUAGUUGGUGAGGUAAAGGCUCACCAAGGCGACGAUCCUUAGCUGGUCUGAGAGGAUGAUCAGCCACACUGGGACUGAGACACGGCCCAGACUCCUACGGGAGGAAGCAGGGGGGAAUAUUGGACAAUGGGCGAAAGACUGAUCCAGCAAUGCCGCGUGAGUGAUGAAGGACUUAGGGUUGUAAAGCUCUGUUAACAGGGAUGAUAAUGACAGUACCGGGAGAAUAAGCGCCGGCUAACUACGUG
RNAcentral lists this ribosomal RNA (433 nucleotides) under uncultured bacterium. Its description in RNAcentral is "partial 16S ribosomal RNA". It matches the Rfam family "Bacterial small subunit ribosomal RNA", at positions 29 to 507 of the family's 1533-position model. The record is from RNAcentral.